GUGAAGCGGGAAAAGCUCAAAUUUGAAAUCUGGCAGUCUUUUUUUUCUUCUUUGGCUGUCCGAGUUGUAAUCUAGAGAAGUGCUUACCUGCACUGGACCAUGUAUAAGUCUCCUGGAAUGGAGCCUCACAGAGGGUGAGAAUCCCGUCUUUGACAUGGACUGCCAGUGCGUUGUGGUGCGCUCUCAAAGAGUCGAGUUGUUUGGGAAUGCAGCUCUAAACGGGUGGUAAACUCCAUCUAAAGCUAAAUAUUGGCGAGAGACCGAUAGCGAACAAGUACCGUGAGGGAAAGAUGAAAAGGACUUUGGAAAGAGAGUUAAACAGUAUGUGAAAUUGUUGAAAGGGAAACGCUUGAAGUCAGUUAUGUCGGCUGGGGAUCAACCUAGCCAUUUUUUUUGGCUGGGUGAAUUUCCUAGUCUGACAGGCCAACAUCAGUCUUGACUGCCGGAAAAGAGUGGAGGGAAUGUGGCACCUUUGGGUGUGUUAUAGCCCUCCGUCAUAUGCGGCAGUCGGGACUGAGGGAUGCAGUGUGCCGCGAGGCUGGGUUUUGACCACGUUCACACUUAGGAUGUUGGCUUUUAAUGGCUCCAAUCGACCCGUCUUGAAACACGGACCAAGGAGUCUAACAUGCCUGCAAGUAUUUGGGUGGAAAACCCUUGUGCACAAUGAAAGUGAAAGUUGAGAUCCCUGUCAUGGGGAGCAUCGACGCCCGGACUUGAGCUUUUAGCAAUGGAUCCGCGGUAGAGCAUGCAUGUUGGGACCCGAAAGAUGGUGAACUAUGCCUGAAUAGGGCAAAGCCAGAGGAAACUCUGGUGGAGGCUCGUAGCGAUUCUGACGUGCAAAUCGAUCG
Molecule: ribosomal RNA, 848 nt
Filed under: Amanita submembranacea
Lineage: Eukaryota; Fungi; Basidiomycota; Agaricomycetes; Agaricales; Amanitaceae
Description: eukaryotic LSU rRNA
Rfam family: Eukaryotic large subunit ribosomal RNA
Source: RNAcentral